AUCCAGCCUAAUGUAAGAAGUCACAGUUCUU
RNAcentral lists this non-coding RNA (31 nucleotides) under Rattus norvegicus (Norway rat). The record is from RNAcentral. Lineage: Eukaryota; Metazoa; Chordata; Mammalia; Rodentia; Muridae.